This 231-nucleotide long non-coding RNA is filed under the name Volvox carteri. Its description in RNAcentral is "long non-coding RNA (VCAR_LNC001311)". Lineage: Eukaryota; Viridiplantae; Chlorophyta; Chlorophyceae; Chlamydomonadales; Volvocaceae. The record is from RNAcentral.
AGACUGGCAAGCUGCGUUUGUGUCUGCUGAGUAUUGAGCAGCCGGCCUGGACCGCGGACUUGGCGGCCGAGCGGGCUCGUCAGUACUGGCAGUUUGCAGUCAGGCCCCUGGUGCGACUCGAGGGGGCAUGUUGGUGUGAAGGGGGUGUGCCGUGUCGCCCCACGUCAGGCUGUUAUGACUGGCGGCUGUCAAGGUGCUAGAAUACUGACAGGCCGCCCGUCAGGACAGGCU